Molecule: transfer RNA, 72 nt
Filed under: Flavobacterium davisii
Lineage: Bacteria; Pseudomonadati; Bacteroidota; Flavobacteriia; Flavobacteriales; Flavobacteriaceae
Description: tRNA-Lys
Rfam family: tRNA
About the family: Transfer RNA (tRNA) molecules are approximately 80 nucleotides in length. Their secondary structure includes four short double-helical elements and three loops (D, anti-codon, and T loops).
Source: RNAcentral
GACUCCGUAGCUCAGUUGGUAGAGCACAUCACUUUUAAUGAUGGGGUCCUGGUCUGAGCCCCAGCGGGGUCA